UGGCGGUGCGCAUACACAUGCAAGUCGAGCGAGGGCUCUUCUCCCGCAAGGGAGGGGAGUUCCUAGCGGCGAACGGGUGAGUAACACGUGGGCAACCUUUCCUAUCGCGGGGGAUAACAGCGGGAAACCGCUGCUAACACCGCAUGUCGUCAUCGGUCGCAUGGCCGGUGAAAAAAGCAGCAAUGCACGAUGGGGUGGGCCCGCGGCCUAUCAGCUAGUCGGUGGGGUAACGGCCUACCGAGGCGAUGACGGGUAGCUGGUCUGAGAGGACGACCAGCCACACGGGGACUGAGACACGGCCCCGACUCCUACGGGAGGCAGCAGUGAGGAAUCUUCCGCAAUGGGCGAAAGCCUGACGGAGCGACACCGCGUGUGGGAUGAAGUCCUUCGGGAUGUAAACCACUGUUGGAGGGGAAGACAACUGACGGUACCCUCCGAGAAAGCCCCGGCUAACUACGUGCCAGCAGCCGCGGUAAUACGUAGGGGGCUAGCGUUAUCCAGAUUUACUGGGCGUAAAGCGCGUGUANGCGGCUGGUUAAGCGUGAUGUGAAAUCCUCGGGCUCAACCCGA
RNAcentral lists this ribosomal RNA (570 nucleotides) under uncultured bacterium. RNAcentral describes it as "bacterial SSU rRNA". It matches the Rfam family "Bacterial small subunit ribosomal RNA", at positions 37 to 617 of the family's 1533-position model. The record is from RNAcentral.